AUUAGCCUCAGCGCGCCAUAGUGACGUCAAAACCACGCGCCGCCAAAAAAAACUUCACAAUAAAAGUGAAGAGCAUGGAUCUAUUAAAAUAACGUUUUAACUCUCAAGUUUGUACCAUGGAGGAUCUAUUAAAAUAAGUAGUAUGAGAAGUAUAGAUCCAUGUUUGUAUCAUGGAUCUAUAAUAACAACACUGAAGAAAAAAUUUCCAGGGCUGUCCGGCUGCGGUCCGAAGACGUCCCCAUCCCCACAGACACGGCAGUUUGUGGUUGGCCUUCAUCACAGCCACACUGGUGCACGAGUCAGGCUUUCGGAUGAUCUCGCACCAGUCCGGAUAGUCCACAGGCUUUGACCCACUGAGGAGGAAAGAGCAGCUGAACUGGCCACCGUUUGACCCCCGCUGCAGAUAAAAGCCCACUACAUUUGAGGGGGCACUGACCAGUGGCCUAUUGUCCAAGCACAGAUCUGACCUGGAACAUCACCUGCUUAUCACAGGUAGAUUUAAUUCCAUGCUGUAGGACAUUAUUGGGAAAGGAAUGUGACUAGAAGGUAACGGACUCUCCACGGAAAAAGUUACACAGUGCACCUUUAAGACUUGCCGUGUGUUAGUGUCAGUAACUCCUGGAUAACUCCAUGGAUUCACAGUUGUCAUGUAGCUGAGUGCGCCACCACCUCUGGACUGCAUUCCCGCCUGUCCCCUCUCCCUUUCAGGGUUGACCUUGUGGGACUACUGGGGCAGAAUAAUGGCUUGUGAUUGCCUUUGAGCCUGGAGGGAGCAUUUGCCCGGGACAGUCCAACAGAUGGGGUGGCAGUAUUGGCUUCAAUAGCGUGAAAGGGGACAAUUCAUUUAAAUGUUUUCAUUAAAAUGUUCAGAAAUUACAGAAAAAAUAACUGCACAAGAAUAUUUUCAUCUAGCAUGACUUAUUUUGGUGGAUUUGUUUUUUAACUUGACAAAUUUAUCAUAUUUGACUAGUUUCUUUACACUUUGUAUUACCAAUGAAGCAAACAUGGCAGUUGGCUUAUGAAAUGUAAAUACAACUUACUCAAAGUGCUCAUAUUAAGAUAAAUUAUUUUAUUCACAAUUAGUUUGAAUUGUUUUCAUUCAUUGAC
This is a long non-coding RNA of Boleophthalmus pectinirostris (great blue-spotted mudskipper), 1107 nucleotides long. RefSeq lists it as uncharacterized. The record is from RefSeq and is a predicted model, not a curated record. Lineage: Eukaryota; Metazoa; Chordata; Actinopteri; Gobiiformes; Gobiidae. The transcript has 4 exons.